UCAAAAGCGGGGGGAGUAAGCCCGGAGAAAUCCGGAUUAAUACCGCAUCGUGGACUCGUACGGAGUAAAGCGGGCCUCUUCUUGAAAGCUCGCACUUUGAGAUAAGCCUACGUCGGAUUAGCUUAGGUUGGUAGGGUAAAAAGCCUACCAAGGCGACGAUCCGUAGCUGGUUUGAGAGGAUGAUCAGCCACACUGGGACUGAGACACGGCCCAU
Molecule: ribosomal RNA, 214 nt
Filed under: uncultured bacterium
Lineage: Bacteria
Description: partial 16S ribosomal RNA
Rfam family: Bacterial small subunit ribosomal RNA
Source: RNAcentral